UACGUAGGCAGCGAGCGUUGUUCGGAGUUACUGGGCGUAAAGGGUGUGUAGGCGGUUGUUUAAGUUUGGUGUGAAAUCUCCCGGCUCAACUGGGAGGGUGCGCCGAAUACUGAAUGACUAGAGUGCGGGAGAGGAGAGUGGAAUUCCUGGUGUAGCGGUGAAAUGCGUAGAUAUCGUAAGGAAGACCAGUGGCGAAGGCGGGUCUCUGGACAGUUCCUGACGCUGAGGCACGAAGGCCAGGGGAGCAAACGGG
RNAcentral lists this ribosomal RNA (253 nucleotides) under uncultured bacterium. RNAcentral's name for it is "partial 16S ribosomal RNA". It matches the Rfam family "Bacterial small subunit ribosomal RNA", at positions 524 to 776 of the family's 1533-position model. The record is from RNAcentral.